UCGGUUAAUAUAGAGGAAUGCCGAGUCAUAUAUCCUUGCCCCAAAAUUAAAUAUUUGAAGGGAUAUGUCUUAUUUUAUUUCUGGGAUAGAAUGUUUUUCAUUUUCAUGUUACUGAAGUGUAGUUUUACUAAACUACUAAAUCUGAGACUGCUAAGCACCUUCCCUGUGCCAGGCACAGCACUGGGUAGGGUGAGGGCCCUGGGAGUCAAUAUUCUGGGACAGGCACAGGAGGUGUACAGGGAAAGAGUCUUUCCUCUCUGUGGCAUCUGGGAGGCUUUAGGAUGUGGGAAAGAUUGUCUCCUCAUCUCAGUUGCCCCUCAUUUUCAGGCAGACACGUAUGAAAUGAUUACACUCCCCUGAAAGAUCAGCUUCUACAUAAUUCAAGAUCAUCCUCAAUCUCUCUCAUCAGAGAGGAAGAAAAGCCACAUGAAUUAUUUACAGAACACUAAGUUAUUUCCUUUUAUGAGCUCCAACUUUGUUUUUGUCUCUGCAAACUGAGAUUUUGUUUAUCCAUGAAUAGUUUCCCCAGGGGCAUGAAAAAUAUGACUCUUAAAUUAUGAAUGAGGUUUUUUGUUUCAGUCCAUGUUAACUAAAACAUGCAAAAUAAACUAUGUUUUUCAUUAGAUCCCUUUCAGCUCCCUGCAAAAACAGAACCAAUAAAAGAACGAGCAGUUCAACCAGCACCCACCAGGAAGCCCACUGUAAUUCGAAUUCCAGCCAAACCAGGAAAAUGUUUACAUGAGGAUCCACAAAGCCCACCUCCUCUCCCUGCUGAAAAACCUAUUGGAAACACUUUCAGUACAGUAUCUGGAAAGCUCAGUAAUGUUGACAGAACUAGAAACUUGGAAUCCCACCACCCAGGUCAAACAGGAGGUUUUGAGCGAGGACCCCCAAGGUUGCCACCGAGACCUGUGAAUGGAAAAACCAUUCCAACUCAACAGCCUCCAACCAAGGUGCCCCCUGAGAGACCACCUCCCCCAAAGCUUUCUGCAACCAGAAGAUCUAAUAAGAAACUGCCUUUUAAUCGAUCCUCUUCUGACAUGGAUCUUCAGAAAAAACAAAGUGACUUGGCAACUGGACUCUCAAAAGCCAAGAGUCAAGUUUUUAAAAAUCAAGAUCCGGUGCUACCCCCUCGCCCCAAACCAGGACACCCUCUCUACAGUAAAUACAUGCGUGGGGAUGUACUUGUGAUGCUGAAGCAGACGGAAAAUAAUUACUUGGAGUGCCAAAAGGGAGAAGACACUGGCAGAGUUCACCUGUCUCAAAUGAAGAUUAUCACUCCACUUGAUGAACAUCUUAGAAGCAGACCAAAUGAUCCAAGCCACGCUCAGAAGCCUGUUGACAGUGGUGCUCCUCAUGCUGUCGUUCUUCAUGAUUUCCCAGCAGAGCAAGUUGAUGAUUUGAACCUCACUUCUGGAGAAAUUGUUUAUCUUCUGGAGAAGAUAGAUACAGAUUGGUACAGAGGGAACUGUAGAAACCAGAUUGGCAUAUUUCCUGCCAACUAUGUCAAAGUGAUUAUUGAUAUCCCAGAAGGAGGAAAUGGGAAAAGAGAAUGUGUUUCAUCUCAUUGUGUUAAAGGCUCAAGAUGUGUUGCUCGAUUUGAAUAUAUUGGAGAGCAGAAGGAUGAGUUGAGUUUCUCAGAGGGAGAAAUUAUUAUGCUUAAAGAGUACGUGAAUGAGGAAUGGGCCAGAGGAGAAGUUCGAGGCAGAACUGGGAUUUUCCCCCUGAACUUUGUGGAGCCUGUUGAGGAUUAUCCCACCUCUGGUGCGAAUGUUUUAAGCACAAAGGUACCACUGAAAACCAAAAAAGAAGAUUCUGGCUCAAACUCUCAGGUUAACAGUCUUUCGGCGGAAUGGUGUGAAGCUCUUCACAGUUUUACAGCAGAGACCAGUGAUGACUUAUCGUUCAAGAGGGGAGACCGGAUCCAGAUUCUGGAACGUCUGGAUUCUGACUGGUGCAGGGGCAGACUGCAGGACAGGGAGGGGAUCUUCCCAGCAGUGUUUGUGAGGCCCUGCCCAGCUGAGGCAAAAAGUAUGUCGGCCAUAGUACCGAAGGGGAGGAAGGCCAAAGCCUUAUAUGAUUUCCGAGGGGAGAAUGAAGAUGAACUUUCCUUCAAGGCUGGAGAUAUAAUAACAGAGCUGGAAUCUGUAGAUGAUGACUGGAUGAGUGGAGAACUAAUGGGAAAAUGUGGAAUAUUUCCCAAAAACUACAUACAGUUUCUACAGAUCAGCUAGAGAAGAAGCUUGACUCUGUUCCUUGGCACAAGAACUCACUUGAACUAUCACCUUGACUAUCAGAUAUGUUUUUGCACUAUUUUUUUUAACUGAAAAAGAAAUAUCUAAGCUGUACAUGGUACACUAGAAUUUUCUGAAAGCAGAAAACGUUUAGAUUUUGUAGUUAAUUUUCAUUACAAUAGAAACAUGCACAUGGAAACCCAUGAGCUAGGAUUCUACCGAGGAAAACAUCCAGUGGGAUUAGCAAGGUGAAGGGAAAGCAUCUGGUGGCAUGGCAGCAUGGGGAGGCUCACACGCAGAAGUUGCACGUGGACAUCUGUUUUAAUCAGCACAAGUGAAUUAACCAGGCUUCUUCAUUUUUUUACUUUAAGAGGACAUUUAAUAUUCUACAUGCUGUAACUAUCAGGACAUGGUUAGCAAUCUAAAUUUCAUUUUUGAUAUUCCAAUUAAUUCUUACAGCUUGAGCAUAUCGGCCUUAUUACCAGAGCAAAUCCUUCCUUCAGGUGGGAUAGUUUAGCGACUAGUUGGAGCAUUUGUAAGCACAUGGUGAAAUCAGCCCCUGCCCACCAAAAUAAUCUUUAUGUUACCAAGUGAUUCCCAUUUGUCUAAGGAUUUGAAGGGGGUCUAAAUUGGAUGUAUCUUACUUAGUCUAAAGAACCAAAACCAUCCCUGAAAUGCCUUGCUAAUACAACUAAUCCUUCCAUAUAUGUGCCAUACUUAUUUUUUUCCUCAGUGUAUACUUUAUGUUAACAGGGUUAUUACAAAGCACAUUUUCUGAAUCUGCAAUCAUUCCUUUGACAAUUACUGGACCCAAAGGAAAAUUCAUUUUCUUUGCAUUAUUCCAGUAAUAUAUAAAAACUGUGUCUUGUUAUAGUAGUACAUUAUGAAUCACAUAUAAAAUCUUACAAUACAGAACAACUGUUAAGAUGGAAAACAGUGCCAAACCUCCACAGCUCAUUUCUUUGUAAUAUAAUCAGAAUGAAAAAUAAUUUAAGAGGACAGAAGACUGGUACUUUUUUGUUGUAUUUUUUCCCUAGCUUAUCCCUGCACAAUUAUUAGAGUGAAUGAAAAACCACUUUCCUGCUUUCCAUUGUCAUAAAUUCUAAGCUUAAGAUAAAAGUGGUUCUUUACAUGACUGCAUCAAUUACAAUUUAUGGACUAGAGCCAAAUAAGUUGAAGACAAUCUUCGAAACAGAUCAAUGGAAUAGAAUUUCAUUGGAAAUGUAAAACACUUUCCCAACAAUGGUCAUGACUUUCUUCUGUUUUUGAGAAGAGUUUCAUAUGCUGGACCACGUUUUAGCUUUUGUUGUUUUUUUUCCCAUUGUCCAAAAAGUUAGGCAACAAGUGGCCACACUUUUACGUGACUACAACCUGGAGUUCUGCAAAGAAGGUAAUAUUUACUUGGUCUUUGACUAAAGUUAUCUCCCCAUUCUAUGGUUACAUUUUAUUUUGGACUAUGGGGAUUUCUAAUAUGUUUUGGUAAAGAAGAGAGUAUAAAGAAAAUUCUUGUCAAAUUUCACUCAAAAGUAAUUUCAUGAGAAAUCAAUGAUUUAAAGCAUUAUCCAAAUUAAAUUAUCAUUUGCAGCAAACUGUACAACAGCAGGAAGGAUAUGGAAUGGAACAUGAGGUAUCUAUCUUUGCCUUUAUAAUUUUAACAUCUUAUAUUGAAGAUUCUUAAAACCUAUCCUUAUUAGAGGAAAAUCUCCAUCUUAAGUUUUGGCCUUCUGUCAGCAGAAUGAUAAGUGCAAUAGUUGUAAAUCUACUUGACACUGUAAUAAACUGAACUGAACUUUC
This 4028-nucleotide small RNA is filed under the name Pongo abelii (Sumatran orangutan). RNAcentral's name for it is "retained intron". The record is from RNAcentral. Lineage: Eukaryota; Metazoa; Chordata; Mammalia; Primates; Hominidae.